GAGGAAGUAAAAGUCGUAACAAGGUUUCCGUAGGUGAACCUG
This 42-nucleotide ribosomal RNA is filed under the name Tetracladium sp. CBS 118523. RNAcentral describes it as "partial 18S ribosomal RNA". The record is from RNAcentral. Lineage: Eukaryota; Fungi; Ascomycota; Leotiomycetes; Helotiales.